AUUUUGUCUCUUAUAU
Molecule: small RNA, 16 nt
Filed under: Arabidopsis thaliana (thale cress)
Lineage: Eukaryota; Viridiplantae; Streptophyta; Magnoliopsida; Brassicales; Brassicaceae
Description: ATSL120640
Source: RNAcentral